This 374-nucleotide long non-coding RNA is filed under the name Mytilus galloprovincialis (Mediterranean mussel). Lineage: Eukaryota; Metazoa; Mollusca; Bivalvia; Mytilida; Mytilidae. The record is from RNAcentral.
AAAUGGAACUAUCCAAAUCUCAGUUUGUUUCUUUUUAUAAGAUGCAAUACAUAAUGAUCUGGUGGCGGUGCUGUUUCCAGGUGUCUUCCGCAUUUUCUCAUCUGAUGAAUUUUUCUACCCUUUUCAGUCACUAUAAAGUGUUACAACUUAAAUUUAGACGCAACACAUAAAUAGUAAUUGGAAAGGUACUGCCAUUGCAUGUGUUAUGCAGAAACUAAUUAUAAAAUCGAUGUGUACCAUCGUCAUGAUCGUGAAAUUAUGAGGUCGCCAAGAAAUGAACUUUGUGAUAGUCUACUCGUUCCCCAAACCUGAAAUAAUUCUAUCGUCUGCUUUCAAAAUACUUUUUAAAUGAAUGUGACCGUCUUUUUAGCCUG